GACGAACGCUGGCGGCGUGCUUAACACAUGCAAGUCGAACGGAAAGGCCCUGCUUUUGUGGUGUUCUCGAGUGGCGAACGGGUGUGUAACACGUGUGUAACCUUCCCUUUACUUUGGGAUAUCUUCUUGAAACUUGGGCUAAUACCCGAUAUGAUCUCCUGCUGCAUGGUGUGGGUUGGAAAGUUUCGGCGGUUGGGGAUGGACUCGCGGCUUAUCAGCUUUUUGGUGGGGUAGUGGCUUACCAAGGCUUUGACGGGUAGCCGGCCUGAGAGGGUGACCGGGGACAAUGGGACUGAGAAAGGGAGCAGACGGGAACGGGAGGCAGGAGUGGGGAAUAUAGCAGAAUGGGGGGAAGGGAGAUGAAGAAACGCGGCGAGCGGGAAGAAGGCCUUGGGGUUGUAAACAGAAUAGGAAUGAGACGAAGAGAGAGUGACGGUAAUGGGUAAAGAAGCACCGGCUAACUACGUG
RNAcentral lists this ribosomal RNA (468 nucleotides) under uncultured bacterium. Its description in RNAcentral is "partial 16S ribosomal RNA". It matches the Rfam family "Bacterial small subunit ribosomal RNA", at positions 28 to 507 of the family's 1533-position model. The record is from RNAcentral.